Small nuclear RNA from Vicugna pacos (alpaca), 107 nucleotides. The record is from RefSeq and is a predicted model, not a curated record. Lineage: Eukaryota; Metazoa; Chordata; Mammalia; Artiodactyla; Camelidae.
AUGCUCACUUCAGCAGCACACAUACUAAAAUUGGAAUGAUACAGAGAAGAUUAGCAUGGCCCCAGCAAAAAGAUGACAUGCACAUUUGUGAAGCAUUCCAUAUAUUU